RNAcentral lists this ribosomal RNA (467 nucleotides) under uncultured bacterium. RNAcentral describes it as "bacterial SSU rRNA". It matches the Rfam family "Bacterial small subunit ribosomal RNA", at positions 340 to 795 of the family's 1533-position model. The record is from RNAcentral.
UACGGAAGGCAGCAGUGGGGAAUAUUGGACAAUGGGGCAACCCUGAUCCAGCCAUGCCGCGUGUGUGAAGAAGGCCUUUUGGUUGUAAAGCACUUUAAGCAGUGAAGAAGACUCUAUGGUUAAUACCCAUAGACGAUGACAUUAGCUGCAGAAUAAGCACCGGCUAACUCUGUGCCAGCAGCCGCGGUAAUACAGAGGGUGCAAGCGUUAAUCGGAAUUACUGGGCGUAAAGCGAGCGUAGGUGGCUUAAUAAGUCAGAUGUGAAAUCCCCGGGCUUAACCUGGGAACUGCAUCUGAUACUGUUGGGCUAGAGUAGGUGAGAGGGAGGUAGAAUUUUCAGGUGUAGCGGUGAAAUGCGUAGAGAUCUGAAGGAAUACCGAUGGCGAAGGGCAGCCUCCUGGGCAUCAUACUGACACUGAGGUUCGGAAAGGCGGUGGGUAAGGCAAACGGAGGAUUAAGGAAUAACC